GCCAUAAAGCCCGUAAAGCUGAGAAACAAAAAAAAAAAAAAGGAACGCGAAAAACUUUGAUCUGCGAUAGCGCCUCGAACUUGGCUAGCUGGUCAAGAUUAGGAGCCCAGGAGGUGGCCCACCAUAAAUACCCGGCUAGAGGAAGAGCCGGCGACGCGUGGCAUCGAUAACCGACUGAGCGGAUAAUUAACAGAAGCAGCUUUGUUUCCAGUGAACUCCACGUAAUGUUCUGGAAUCGUUAUCAGCACCCUAAUGGGGGUCAUCGAAAUAUUAGGUGCCAUUUUCGACAAAUGAUUAUCUUGAUCGCUUGAUCGAGUGGAUUUCGUUCUUUUUCGUAUUAAGUUUCUUCUGUUUGGGUUUUGGCCACUUGAGGACCGUCAUAACGUUGCAUAACUCAUCGCCCGAUGGACGAUAGCCGCCGGAGUGAAAAGAAGAACGAGAAAAAAACCGAAUUAUAAAAUGCGACACUCUUUAUGCCCCCAAUUGGCGUAUAAACUCUAUUAAACAAUUUAUGCUCUAAACUGUCUGAAUUGCUUAACUUCUUUAUGGCACUCGCAUUCGCAUUCGGUUUCAGUUUGAGUUUCGGGCCCGCACGCUUAAUAAACUUAUCUAACAGUCA
Molecule: long non-coding RNA, 619 nt
Organism: Drosophila sechellia
Lineage: Eukaryota; Metazoa; Arthropoda; Insecta; Diptera; Drosophilidae
Exons: 2
Source: RefSeq, a predicted model, not a curated record